GGAAAUCUCACCAGGCCCGGACACUGGAAGGAUUGACAGAUUGAGAGCUCUUUCUCGAUUCGGUGGGUGGUGGUGCAUGGCCGUUCUUAGUUGGUGGAGUGAUUUGUCUGGUUAAUUCCGAUAACGAACGAGACUCUGUCCUGCUAAAUAGUUGGGUCGUCCUUCGUGCGAUCCAAGUUCUUCUUAGAGGGACUGGCUGCGUCUAGCAGCACGAGAUUGAGCAAUAA
Molecule: ribosomal RNA, 227 nt
Filed under: uncultured eukaryote
Lineage: Eukaryota
Description: partial small subunit ribosomal RNA
Rfam family: Eukaryotic small subunit ribosomal RNA
Source: RNAcentral